Pipistrellus kuhlii (Kuhl's pipistrelle) is the source of this 272-nucleotide long non-coding RNA. RefSeq lists it as uncharacterized. The transcript has 2 exons. The record is from RefSeq and is a predicted model, not a curated record. NCBI's taxonomy places the organism in Eukaryota, Metazoa, Chordata, Mammalia, Chiroptera, Vespertilionidae.
AUAAAGGUCUGGUUUAAGUACAGGGAGCAAGAAGUUGUGCUUCAAAUGUCAGUGACUAUGAGACCAGACUAACCCUUUGGAAGGACAAUGUCACAGAAACUGGAAGGCCAAUUGAAAUUCCCUGAACAAAACUGAUGUCUCCUGAUUCUGAAAAUCCAGUGUGAGAAGACCUUCCUAAGUCUUGUCCUAUUUCUAGUUUUCAUGUACCAGUCUGUAUUCCUCCCACCUCCUGCCCAGAAAGCUCUAGAUGUUUAAUAAAACAAAAAUAAAAA